This 637-nucleotide ribosomal RNA is filed under the name Boophis xerophilus. Its description in RNAcentral is "partial 16S ribosomal RNA". It matches the Rfam family "Bacterial large subunit ribosomal RNA", at positions 598 to 1695 of the family's 2925-position model. Lineage: Eukaryota; Metazoa; Chordata; Amphibia; Anura; Mantellidae. The record is from RNAcentral.
CUCGUACCUUUUGCAUCAUGGUCUAGCUAGUCUAAUCAAGCAAAACGAAUUUAAGUUUGACCCCCCGAAACUAAGUGAGCUACUUCAAAACAGCCCCUGGGGCCAACCCGUCUCUGUUGCAAAAGAGUGGGAAGAUUUUCAAGUAGAGGUGAUAAACCUACCGAACUUAGAGAUAGCUGGUUACUUAAGAAAUGAAUUUUAGUUCAACCCUAAGUCUUUAUUUUAAACAAAAACCUCCACUAGGCUUAGGAUUAAUUCAAAUAAGGCACAGCUUAUUUGAAACAGGAUACAACCUAAAAUAAAGGGUAACACGACGGAUUAGUUUAACAAGUAGGCCUAAAAGCAGCCAUCUUCAAAAAAGCGUCAAAGCUUAUUAUUCAUGAUCUUCUAAAUACCAAGUUUAACUUGCAACCCUUCACCCCUAUUAAGUAACUCCAUAUUCUUAUGGAAGCUAUUAUGCUAGAACUAGUAACAAGAAAAUGAUUUUCUCCAAAAUGUAAGUUUAUGCCAUAACAGACCCCCUACUGGCAAUCAACGUAAAUGAGCCCUAUUUAGUAACACCCUCAAGAAAAUCCUAAAACUCCUAACGUUAACCUUACACCAGAACAUUUUUGGAAAGAUAAAUAGGGGAGGAAGG